GGGGUGCUCCUGGCAUCUAGGGUGGAGGCCAGAUAUGUUACUAAACAUCUUAGACAGCCCCGCACAACAACAAUUAUCUGGCCUAAAACGUAUGCAGUGCCGAGGCGAGAAAGCCUGGUCUACAUCAGUGGUUCUCACUCAAGGCUUUCCCAAGAGUGGUCCGCAACCCGGCAGUCUCAGCACUGGGCACAGAUUAGGACGGUAAACUCUCGGGCUCCUUGUCUGACCUAUGGAGGCAGAAACCCUGGAGGUGGAGUCCAGCAAUCUGUGAAAUCAAAUGCGUGACCACGAGCUGAACUUUUCAGCCUUGUUAGCGGAAGUCUGGUCAGGACCCAGCACAUCCGCAUCACCUGUGCGUUUCCAGAGCAGACCAGCGAGCCGGCUCACACCUCGUGAUGCAAAAGCCGCUUACAACAAGAGCCCCGGGUGACUCGCGUGCCUGUGGAGGCGGCGGAGCGCCACUGCAGAGCACGAAGCUUUCCCGUAGAGCCUCGCUUUCUCCCCCGUGGGCGCCCCGCGGAAACCAGCCUGCCCAGCCUUGGAGCAGCUGGUUCUCCAAGUGUGGUCCUGGAACCAGCAGCUCAGCAUCACCAGGGAGCUUGCGAGAGAUGCAGAUCCUGGACCACCGCAGACCCGGUGGAUCCCGGUCUGGGGCGGGGCCCGCAGCCUGGGUCUAACAGCCCUGCGGGGUUCUGACGCGAACGUCUGAGAACCUGCGCUUUAGAGACGGUGGGUCUGGACGGCAGACAGAGCUGUGGCCUUCGCGGAUGGUUUAGGGAGCGCCUGCAGACGCCAGCCCUGUGCACGCACCGCCGGUACCCUAGAGGGGUUCGACGUGGUUUUAGGGCCAAUUCCUAAUUAGGAGAAUCUGAGUCAAUGUUAUUUCGUUGGUUCUGUGAAUAAUAACAUUUUGGAUUACACGGAAAAUUUAGUUUACAAAGUGCCUGCCAUGGUAUUUAAUUUAAUCCUCACUGUAACACAAGGACGUAGAUGUAAUUGCCUCCCACGGCAGAUGGGACAACUGAGCUUGAGAAAGAUUAAGUGACUUUUUAAAGGGCAUAUUGAAAGGGGCAGGGCCAGUCUUGAAAUCCAAAAGCACAAUUGCAAAGAGAUCUUCUACAAGCCUUUUGAAAAGUUAAGUAGAGGAGGUUUCAAAUGCAGCUGAAAACUCCACGAUGGUUUUCACCUUGUGGGAAACAAAUUUCAGGCACAGAUUAAUGAAGACAGACCCAUAAAACAUAAAAUUCAAAACUCCCUCUCUAAAAGUUCAACAACAAUAACAGAAAUACGAAUAUAUAGGGAGAAAGAGAUAAAGCAAAUAAGGCAGAGUGUUAACAUUCGGUGAAUCUAGGUGGAUUUAUAAGUUCUUGUUGCAGAAUUUCUGCCACUUUUCUUUGACAUAAAGUCAACAGGACCUUCAACACUGGUCUGGGUGCUGGC
This 1440-nucleotide long non-coding RNA is filed under the name Equus asinus (donkey). Its description in RNAcentral is "lncRNA (ENSEASG00005032144.1)". The record is from RNAcentral. Lineage: Eukaryota; Metazoa; Chordata; Mammalia; Perissodactyla; Equidae.